Long non-coding RNA from Daphnia pulicaria, 912 nucleotides. RefSeq lists it as uncharacterized. The record is from RefSeq and is a predicted model, not a curated record. The transcript is spliced from 3 exons. Lineage: Eukaryota; Metazoa; Arthropoda; Branchiopoda; Diplostraca; Daphniidae.
GAUCGAGUGCUUUCUCAUUAUAGAGAUGAUAGGAAUUUGAUGAAACCCAAUUUUCGAGUUCAAAUACUAAUAUAGUCCCGUUUUCUUCUUCUUCCAAAUCUUUUCGCUUUUUUUUUUGUUUUUCCUGUUUGGCGGGUUUUGUGAGACAGCCGGCAGGGGCCGAGCGGAUGUGGAUUGCAACCACGAACACACGUACAGUACAUUUUUUGGGUUGUUUUUUUUUUGUGAAAAAUGUGUGCCACCAGACAAUGUCCAGACACAAAGUCCAAGGGUGUGCGUCCAAGUUUUGAGGGACGGAGGGGGGGGGGGGGCUGCUGCCGCUCAAUUGAACGCCUACGCCUCGCUCGACUGGGUACCUCCUCUACUAUAUAGACUGGUGCUGGCUGGCAGUCAAAAUACAAGUCGGCGUAUUAUAUUUCGACAUUGAUGCAGAGCUAUAGCGCCACGGCCGCGCGCGGCACCCUCUCAUUUCACGAGCGAGUUUCACUGUGUGGGGGGUGUUUGUUUGCGUCUAUUGUAUACCGACACUAUAUAGCGGUAAUAAUAAGUGAAUGAACGAAAAACGAUGGGUUCAACCGUCAGUAUUAUAAGACAAGGAAAAGGGAAACUCCCCACCGAAAAGUAAUAAUAACAGAUUUGACUGUCGGAGAAAAUGGCAACGCAGACACAACAGAAACCCAAAGAAAGCCAACAACUCGUAAAAGAUCAAAGAAGUACAAAUAUAGAAGAAAAUAUUUAAUAUCUAAAAGCUCCUCUCUGGAGAACUUUUCGAGAGAUAUGAGAACCAAAAAAAAAGAAAUACUCAACGGGGUGUGAUAUUCUUUGAUUGGGUGUGCCGGGUUGUCAACACGAUGACAGGGAUGAACCAGACGCAUAUACAUUUAUAAUCCCAGGUCUUUGGCAUUCCAUCAU